RNAcentral lists this microRNA precursor (98 nucleotides) under Equus asinus (donkey). RNAcentral describes it as "mir-544 microRNA precursor family". It matches the Rfam family "mir-544 microRNA precursor family". The record is from Rfam by way of RNAcentral. Lineage: Eukaryota; Metazoa; Chordata; Mammalia; Perissodactyla; Equidae. RNAcentral also lists the same sequence under 1 other name.
AUCACCUGGGGGUUUUAUUAAAAUACAGAUUCUUAUUCCAUAGGUCUGGGAUGGGAACUGAGAUUCUGUAUUUCUGAUAAACUUCCAGGUGAUGCCAG